AUCCAGUCUGGUGGUUCUGCGUACACCUAGCUCGUCAGAGGGGCUGCAUCGACCCGCCUUGCCAUUGGUCCUGCCACGUUUUCCUCUCUCGUCCCUGUUGAGGGACACGAA
This is a non-coding RNA of Pteropus vampyrus (large flying fox), 111 nucleotides long. NCBI's taxonomy places the organism in Eukaryota, Metazoa, Chordata, Mammalia, Chiroptera, Pteropodidae. The record is from Rfam.